GUUAUAAUGCUUAUCAUCAAUCGGAUUGGUAGAAUUUUACAUUAUUUUGUUGCAGGCUAAUCCGGAUCUUCACUUCACUGUGGCUCACUUCUACCUCCUUCUUCUAAUGAAAAAUCAAAAAAAAUAAGAGAUCAUCAUUCAACGCGUUCGAUUGGACCCGCUCGAUUGGACCUGGAAACGUCUAAUCGUCAUCCAGACUUUAAUUGGUUGAGGUCUAAAUCGUGUCGACAAUUUGAGGUGCCCGAUCGUUUGUUCGUGUCUGGAUUCGAUAAUCAGGAUGGAGGAUAUUCGUUCUGGAACGGGUAAAACAACAGAUACAAGAUGCAUGCAUGUGUGAAUGAAGUGAAUGAGACCCUUGGAAUUUUUUUUCCUCAUUUCUGAGGUUUUUUUUGUAUACGUAUGAGACCUUUGUGAAGUAUGAGAAAGUAUGAGACCCGUGAACUUUUUUUCCUCAUUUCGGAAUGAGGUUUUUUUUUAUAUACGUAUGAGAAUGAGACUCUUGUGAUAAUCAAAUUUUUUUCCUCAUCAUGUUGAGGUUUUUUUUGAAAUACAAACAUUUGUUUUAACUGUCAAUCACGUCUUAUUUUUUUACAAAGGUUUAGGAUCGUGAAUAUUCUCAAAAUACGUACAAGUUAUAGUCGAAAUACGAUGGUUUGGAGGGGUUUAAUUAAAUUCGGCUCUUUUGAUGACGCUGCCAAAUUUUUAUAGCCGUCGACUGGUUUAUGUGGCAGCCACAGAGAAUAGCCGAAUAUUAAAUUCGACUGGUUAACAGACUUGAAACAGUUCAAUUAUUUAUCAGAACACGUCAUGACAAAUAGUCGAAUUUCAUUUUUCGACGAUUUAUAAAUGUUUGUCCAAAUAAAUUCGGUUAGAAAUGAUUUAUGACAAUACACAAAUUCGACUGGUUAUCGGAACAGGUUUUAUUUCGAUUAUUUGACUGUAUUUGACAAAAUUAUCAA
Molecule: non-coding RNA, 959 nt
Organism: Hydra vulgaris (swiftwater hydra)
Lineage: Eukaryota; Metazoa; Cnidaria; Hydrozoa; Anthoathecata; Hydridae
Source: RefSeq, a predicted model, not a curated record